AUUGAACGCUGGCGGCAUGCUUUACACAUGCAAGUCGAACGGUAACAGGCCUUCGGGUGCUGACGAGUGGCGAACGGGUGAGUAAUGCAUCGGAACGUACCCAGAAGUGGGGGAUAACGCAGCGAAAGCUGUGCUAAUACCGCAUGUGAUCUGAGGAUGAAAGCGGGGGACCGAGCAGCAAUGUUUGGCCUCGCGCCUUUGGAGCGGCCGAUGUCGGAUUAGCUAGUUGGUGGGGUAAAGGCCUACCAAGGCGACGAUCCGUAGCUGGUCUGAGAGGACGACCAGCCACACUGGGACUGAGACACGGCCCAGACUCCUACGGGAGGCAGCAGUGGGGAAUUUUGGACAAUGGGCGCAAGCCUGAUCCAGCAAUGCCGCGUGCGGGAAGAAGGCCUUCGGGUUGUAAACCGCUUUUGGCAGGAACGAAACGGUGUCCGCUAAUACCGGGCGCUAAUGACGGUACCUGCAGAAUAAGCACCGGCUAACUACGUG
This 492-nucleotide ribosomal RNA is filed under the name uncultured bacterium. RNAcentral's name for it is "partial 16S ribosomal RNA". It matches the Rfam family "Bacterial small subunit ribosomal RNA", at positions 29 to 507 of the family's 1533-position model. The record is from RNAcentral.